CCGCCACCGGCCCGGCCACCCCGGGCUGGGAGGGGGUUGGGUGCCUGUCGCGACUCGCCCUUUGUGCGGCGCGGCGCAGGACACGGCGGCAGCCGGGGGUCUUUGUCCUCGGCCGGCCGGGGGGACCGGGGGAUCCCAGCCGGGGCGCCCCCUCCCCGGGCGCUCCCGGGCUCACCCACUGCAGCUACCGCGGGCCCUCCGGCCCGGCCGCCGCCGCUGCAGCCUCCGGCUCGGGCCGCUCGGCCUCCGCUCCUGUAGGCGGCGGGGCGGCGGCGGCUCGCGGAGCCCGGGACCCGGGAGGCUAGCGCGCACCCAGCCGGGGGCCGCCGGCGCCCGCUCGCGGUCCGGCCAGGGGCUCCACGGGCCCGGGCGCCUCUUCAUUUUCUUUUUGGUGUGGCGGCGGCCGCCAGGCCGGAGCUGGGCUGGGGGAGGGGCGCGGCGGUGUUGGGUUUCAGGCGGUGAGUCAGGCCCCCCCGCCGCCCGGGCUGGCACCCCCGCCCGCCGGCCCCCACCUCCGUCCUGCGGGGGCCACUGCGCGCCCUGGAAAACCCCAGGAGGGGCGCUUCGGCCCGAAGAAAGGCGGAGUCGGGACGAAGGGAGGCUACGAGGCUGCACCCGGGGCCCUCCAACACCGUCCAGGACUCCGGCGGGCACAGCCGCUUGGGAGGGUAGCAGAGUUGGGGGUGUGGAAGAAAUGGGGCGCUCAAGGCACGGAGACGAAGCUGGAUCCGCGUAGAGGCCCACCCUGCCGCGAAGCAGCCAUCAGCAGUGGACUAAUCAGGGACCUGGGAUGGAUCAGGGGCCCGGGCCUCUUGAUCUUGGCCCCCAAGGAGCCUUGGGAGUUUUCCUUUAACUGGAAGGGCCACAUCCACGCGAUGGCGACAGCAACCGUACCCCACCAGGUGAGGGUCAGUCAGGAACCCUCCAACCAUGGGAGCUGUCCCGGUUCUCCAAAGAGGAGGCAAGGGAAAAAUCAGGAAGAAGGCAAGGGGGGAAAAAGGCGUGGGUUUGUUGUUGUUGUUGUUGUUGUUUUAAUAAAUGGUGCAAGAGCCGUGCGUUCUGCAAAUCCCGGGCAAUUCUUUACUUUUCCACCAGUGAACGCCCUUGAGCUUCCUCUUCAGCUCCCAGGUUCAUCCCUUCCUCCGCAUUCCUGCUGUCUUCACUCCUGUCUACCCCUUAUCACCUUACACUGGACUCCCCUGGGCUCUGGCAACAGCCUGCCCUCCCCGGAACCUCCUCCCCGGAAACUCCUCCCUGCAGCCCUAGUAAUGGCCCAAAACACCCCAGUCAUAUCUCCACACACGUGCCUCUGCUGCAUUCUAGCAAUCUGUCCAAACUUUAUUUCCACUGAUGCUUGACGUUAAACCCCUCUGCCCCUUCCUGUCCUCCCUAAGAGCUACCACAUAAUACAUAGGCAAAGUUAAUGUUUAUUCAAAUCUAUUCUGUCCACCACACUUGCAGGGCUUCUCUGCCCCCAUCCUAAACUGUUUCUGCCUUUUUUCCCAGUGCCUGGGAUGAAAUGUUUUACCACUGAUUUAUACUCUCACCCACCCCUGUGUUCUGGUUUUAUACAAAUAACUGUGCAUGUAAAUUCAAGAAUCAAGUAAGUGAUAUGCAGAGUGAGUCCUGGUUCCCAGUGAAUUGACUGCAUGACCUUGGGCAAAUGACUUAACCUCUCAAAGCCUCAGUUUCCUCUUCUUAAAACAGAAAUUACCUGAUAGGUUUUUCAGGUAAACACAUCGCUUCUGCAGUAGUAAUUAAAAUUGUUCACCGAGUAUCUUCUGUUCUUUUCCUUCCCCUGAGAUAUGGUAGAAAUCUACCAUCCCAACCCACUUCAGAUUAGAUGUGGCCAUAUGACUUGCGGAGGUCAGUAGAAUGAAGGCACAAGUAAUUGUGCUUUUUCCACAUGGAGACUUCAGAGUUAGGUUGUA
Molecule: long non-coding RNA, 1931 nt
Filed under: Marmota monax (woodchuck)
Lineage: Eukaryota; Metazoa; Chordata; Mammalia; Rodentia; Sciuridae
Source: RNAcentral